Molecule: non-coding RNA, 73 nt
Organism: Stegodyphus mimosarum
Lineage: Eukaryota; Metazoa; Arthropoda; Arachnida; Araneae; Eresidae
Source: Rfam
GCCUUCGUGGCGUAGUGGUCAGCACGCUGGGUGCGUAUUCCAGAGAUUCGUGGUUCGAGUCCCGGCGAAGCCG